Molecule: ribosomal RNA, 265 nt
Filed under: uncultured Eubacteriales bacterium
Lineage: Bacteria; Bacillati; Bacillota; Clostridia; Eubacteriales
Description: uncultured Clostridiales bacterium partial 16S ribosomal RNA
Rfam family: Bacterial small subunit ribosomal RNA
Source: RNAcentral
AUGGAACUGAUAUGUUUUAGCGGCGGACGGGUGAGUAACGCGUGAGCAACCUUUCCUUGACAGGGGGAUAACGCAUCGAAAGAUGUGCUAAUACCGCGUAAGACCACAGCUUCACAUGGAGCGGGGGUCAAAGGAGCAAUCCGGAUAAAGAUGGGCUCGCGUCCGAUUAGCUAGUUGGUGAGAUAACAGCCCACCAAGGCGACGAUCGGUAGCCGACCUGAGAGGGUGAUCGGCCACAUUGGAACUGAGAGACGGUCCAGACUCC